GCUUGCUACCUGACCUAGCGGCGGACGGGUGAGUAAUGCUUAGGAAUCUGCCUAUUAGUGGGGGACAACAUUCCGAAAGGAAUGCUAAUACCGCAUACGCCCUACGGGGGAAAGCAGGGGAUCUUCGGACCUUGCGCUAAUAGAUGAGCCUAAGUCAGAUUAGCUAGUUGGUGGGGUAAAGGCCUACCAAGGCGACGAUCUGUAGCGGGUCUGAGAGGAUGAUCCGCCACACUGGGACUGAGACACGGCCCAGACUCCUACGGGAGGCAGCAGUGGGGAAUAUUGGACAAUGGGCGAAAGCCUGAUCCAGCCAUGCCGCGUGUGUGAAGAAGGCCUUUUGGUUGUAAAGCACUUUAAGCGAGGAGGAGGCUACUUGGAUUAAUACUCUAGGAUAGUGGACGUUACUCGCAGAAUAAGCACCGGCUAACUCUGUGCCAGCAGCCGCGGUAAUACAGAGGGUGCGAGCGUUAAUCGGAUUUACUGGGCGUAAAGCGUGCGUAGGCGGCUUUUUAAGUCGGAUGUGAAAUCCCUGAGCUUAACUUAGGAAUUGCAUUCGAUACUGGGAAGCUAGAGUAUGGGAGAGGAUGGUAGGAUUCCAGGUGUAGCGGUGAAAUGCGUAGAGAUCUGGAGGAAUACCGAUGGCGAAGGCAGCCAUCUGGCCUAAUACUGACGCUGAGGUACGAAAGCAUGGGGAGCAAACAGGAUUAGAUACCCUGGUAGUCCAUGCCGUAAACGAUGUCUACUAGCCGUUGGGGCCUUUGAGGCUUUAGUGGCGCAGCUAACGCGAUAAGUAGACCGCCUGGGGAGUACGGUCGCAAGACUAAAACUCAAAUGAAUUGACGGGGGCCCGCACAAGCGGUGGAGCAUGUGGUUUAAUUCGAUGCAACGCGAAGAACCUUACCUGGUCUUGACAUAGUAAGAACUUUCCAGAGAUGGAUUGGUGCCUUCGGGAACUUACAUACAGGUGCUGCAUGGCUGUCGUCAGCUCGUGUCGUGAGAUGUUGGGUUAAGUCCCGCAACGAGCGCAACCCUUUUCCUUAUUUGCCAGCGGGUUAAGCCGGGAACUUUAAGGAUACUGCCAGUGACAAACUGGAGGAAGGCGGGGACGACGUCAAGUCAUCAUGGCCCUUACGACCAGGGCUACACACGUGCUACAAUGGUCGGUACAAAGGGUUGCUACCUAGCGAUAGGAUGCUAAUCUCAAAAAGCCGAUCGUAGUCCGGAUUGGAGUCUGCAACUCGAC
RNAcentral lists this ribosomal RNA (1243 nucleotides) under uncultured Acinetobacter sp. Its description in RNAcentral is "bacterial SSU rRNA". It matches the Rfam family "Bacterial small subunit ribosomal RNA", at positions 78 to 1316 of the family's 1533-position model. Lineage: Bacteria; Pseudomonadati; Pseudomonadota; Gammaproteobacteria; Moraxellales; Moraxellaceae. The record is from RNAcentral.